RNAcentral lists this ribosomal RNA (306 nucleotides) under Triticum aestivum (bread wheat). RNAcentral describes it as "partial small subunit ribosomal RNA". The record is from RNAcentral. Lineage: Eukaryota; Viridiplantae; Streptophyta; Magnoliopsida; Poales; Poaceae.
AUGGCAGUCGGCUACAUAGCCGUCGACUACUUCGACGUGUCGUGCAGCCAGGAUUCUGUGCUGCGCCCCAACCUAGGCGGCCGCAGCGGCGAUGGUGCUGCUGCUCCCAUGCCGCGUUGCCAGGCCCGCCGCGCCCUCGCCUACCUCGCGCUCGCGGUCACCUUCCUCUUCCAUUGCAUCUACGCCGGCGCCGUUUGGAUCUUCCUCGCUGCCGACCCAGGAUACAUCUUCGGCAAGAUCUUUUUUACCGUGGUCAUCUGCCUCAUCCUGGUGUGCAAUCUGACCUGCCUGUCUGAUCUCCUUUAA